UACGGAAGGGGCUAGCGUUGUUCGGAAUUACUGGGCGUAAAGGGCGCGUAGGCGGCCUUCUAAGUCGGACGUGAAAGCCCCAGGCUUAACCUGGGAACUGCGUCCGAUACUGGAAGGCUUGGAUUCGGGAGAGGGAUGUGGAAUUCCAGGUGUAGCGGUGAAAUGCGUAGAUAUCUGGAGGAACACCGGUGGCGAAGGCGGCAUCCUGGACCGACAUCGACUCUGAGGCGCGAAAGCUAGGGGAGCAAACGGG
This 253-nucleotide ribosomal RNA is filed under the name uncultured bacterium. Its description in RNAcentral is "partial 16S ribosomal RNA". It matches the Rfam family "Bacterial small subunit ribosomal RNA", at positions 524 to 776 of the family's 1533-position model. The record is from RNAcentral.